RNAcentral lists this ribosomal RNA (234 nucleotides) under uncultured bacterium. Its description in RNAcentral is "partial 16S ribosomal RNA". It matches the Rfam family "Bacterial small subunit ribosomal RNA", at positions 120 to 354 of the family's 1533-position model. The record is from RNAcentral.
AGAAACCUGCCGUAUACUGGGGGAUAACACUUAGAAAUAGGUGCUAAUACCGCAUAAGCGCACAGCUUCGCAUGAAGCGGUGUGAAAAACUCUGGUGGUAUACGAUGGUUCCGCGUCUGAUUAGCUAGUUGGUGGGGUAAUGGCCUACCAAGGCAACGAUCAGUAGCCGGCCUGAGAGGGUGAACGGCCACAUUGGGACUGAGACACGGCCCAAACUCCUACGGGAGGCAGCAG